GCAAUAGGCGUCACGGGUUCACCAGGAGGUGGGCUUGGAAGCAGCCAUCCUUUGAAGAAAGCGUAAUAGCUCACUGGUCUAGCUCCAUGGCACCAAAAAUGUAUCGGGGCUCAA
This 114-nucleotide non-coding RNA is filed under the name Nicotiana tabacum (common tobacco). Its description in RNAcentral is "Bacterial large subunit ribosomal RNA". It matches the Rfam family "Bacterial large subunit ribosomal RNA", at positions 1065 to 1185 of the family's 2925-position model. Lineage: Eukaryota; Viridiplantae; Streptophyta; Magnoliopsida; Solanales; Solanaceae. The record is from Rfam by way of RNAcentral.